GUGUUAACACAGCAGGGAACUGGAAGAAUCAGAACUGGAAGAAGAAGAAGUGAUUGGCAUGCUGACACGCUGCUGUAAGAAUUGCAGUGGGGAACAAUUACAUUGCUCAAAGAACACUUCACAAUUGGAGGGAAGAGAAUUAUGUCAGUGCUGAAGGAUUUCACAGCUGUACUCCAAAACAAACCUGGAAAUGUACAUUAUAGGUACUGGAAGCAAAAGAGUCUAUUAUUUUGUCUUCUUUUAGUUCCUCGAGGUGGUCCUGAUGGAAGCUGGAGAACCACUGUUAUACUGACUGUCAAUGAUGACGAUAAAGUUCCUGUCGUCAGCCUACUGAAGGAAGGGUCUUGGAAAGCAUUCAGGUCAUCAGCUGCUAUGCUAUGAACAUGCUCAGGCAACUCACAGAGAGGCCCUUGUCAUGGGAAACUGAGGCUGCCAGAAAGAAACCACCCAAGUGAGUUUGGCAGCAGAUUCUUCAGUCUCAGUCAAGCGUUGAGAUGACUGCAGCCUUGACAGACAGCACAACUGCAGCCUCGAGAGAAAGCCUGAGCCAGAGGCACCCAGCUAAGCUGU
RNAcentral lists this long non-coding RNA (570 nucleotides) under Homo sapiens (human). RNAcentral's name for it is "HSALNT0334211". Lineage: Eukaryota; Metazoa; Chordata; Mammalia; Primates; Hominidae. The record is from RNAcentral.